RNAcentral lists this long non-coding RNA (1385 nucleotides) under Sorghum bicolor (sorghum). RNAcentral describes it as "long non-coding RNA (SBIC_LNC002457)". Lineage: Eukaryota; Viridiplantae; Streptophyta; Magnoliopsida; Poales; Poaceae. The record is from RNAcentral.
GAGGCUAAAUUAAGGUAUUCUUGAUUUUUAUCAUUAAGGCCUAAAAAGAAAUAUUGUAAAAGCAUGGGUUCUGGUAAAGCAAGAUUAGGUCUAGAAUUUACAAAACUAUCAAAACGAUCCCAAGCCUUGCCUAGCGAUUCCUUGUCUAAUUUUUUGAAUCCUAUAAUUCCAAACCGAAGUUUAGCGACCUUUUCUACUGGGAAGAAUUUAAGGCAAAAGUUUUUUCCUAAUAUAUCCCAGUCUCCUUGACUGUUGCCAACAUGGCGAUUAUACCAUUUCUUAGCUCGACCCGUUAAUGAAAAUGGAAAGAGCUUCCAUCUUAGAGUUUCAUCGGCCAUGCCCUUAAUUUUUAGACAUGAACAUGUCUGCUCAAAAUUAGCUAAAUGGGAAUAGGAGUUUUCACUAGAAUUACUGGAAAAAAUAUGUUCUUGAACUAAUUUGAUUAGUCCGGGCUAGCUCAUAGCCAGAUGAUGUGAUAGGUUUAGAAGAUUCUUUUGGCUGGAGGUACGAUCCCGAUGGUGCUCCAUAUUGAUAUAAAAGUUGAGAUUCGAUUUCCAUCUAUAUAUUUAUAUUUUAUUUUUAUAUUUAUUUUCAUUUAUUAUUUUUUAUAAAAGGAUAACUAUAGACUAAGAUAGACUAAUGUUAAAAAUUAGUAAACCGUUCCCGGCAAAGGCGCCAGAAAUGCUUGUUGGUAUAAAUUAACUACACCCUAAUAAUGAUUAUAAUCAGAUUAUCCGCAAGUGUAGAUCGGCACUUUACCAAGAUCAACCCGGUUUUAAUAUCGAACCCAAAGGAAAAGUAGGUGAUUUAUGACUUAGCCUAUAAUUUCUUAAUCUAAGGAGGCACAAACAAUCUAGAAACUAUUGAUGAUGAGGAAAUACUAAUGUACUCUGGUUCCAAUAACCGGUAAACUUUGUAUAGUAUCGUCUUAUCGGGCAAGUAACCCAAACAAGGGAAGAAUCAGAGUAAUCCCCUAUCAGCCACCUAUAAGCCUUUCAAUCCUAUCAACGGGAAGUGGACUACAGAGAAAUCAACGCAGCUAUAAAGUCACCUAUGCGAACUACCACUGUCUGGCUGAUCUGGGGGCAUUCACAAGCAACCAUAGCCCAGACACCACGUCUACGGUACGAAUCACUACUCCGAUCUAGGAGCUACCCAAAUCAUAGUACACAAUAUAAUAUGAGUUGCAAACUAAAGAACGAAUACAAACAAGUUGAUUACUUCAAUCAGAAGGGUAAAUACAAAAGUACCUCCGAACGUGGUUCCAGACGAGGGAGCCAAAUCCAUACGAAUACAGCUCCUGAGGAAGCUCCGACAAGCCGGGACUCCUCCGAAUCUCUACUCCUCUACUCUAUCUCUCUAAUCUCUAUCUUGAUUGCUAGCCU